This 492-nucleotide ribosomal RNA is filed under the name uncultured bacterium. Its description in RNAcentral is "partial 16S ribosomal RNA". It matches the Rfam family "Bacterial small subunit ribosomal RNA", at positions 29 to 507 of the family's 1533-position model. The record is from RNAcentral.
AGUGAACGCUGGCGGUAGGCCUAACACAUGCAAGUCGAACGGAAGCACAGUAAGAGCUUGCUAUUACGGGUGGCGAGUGGCGGACGGGUGAGGAAUACAUCGGAAUCUACUUUUUCGUGGGGGAUAACGUAGGGAAACAUACGCUAAUACCGCAUACGACCUACGGGUGAAAGCAGGGGAUCUUCGGACUUUGCGCGAUUGAAUGAGCCGAUGUCGGAUUAGCUAGUUGGCGGGGUAAAGGCCCACCAAGGCGACGAUCCGUAGCAGGUCUGAGAGGAUGAUCGGCCACACUGGAACUGAGACACGGUCCAGACUCCUACGGGAGGCAGCAGUGGGGAAUAUUGGGCAAUGGGCGCAAGCCUGAUCCAGCCAUACCGCGUGGGUGAAGAAGGCCUUCGGGUUGUAAAACCCUUUUGUUAGGAAAGAAAAGCAGCGGAUUAAUACCCCGCUGUUCUGACGGUACCCAAAGAAUAAGCACCGGCUAACUUCGUG